AGAACGAACGCUGGCGGCAUGCCUAAUACAUGCAAGUCGAACGAACUCUUCGGAGUUAGUGGCGCACGGGUGCGUAACGCGUGGGAAUCUGCCCCUUGGUUCGGAAUAACAGUUGGAAACGACUGCUAAUACCGGAUGAUGACGAAAGUCCAAAGAUUUAUCGCCAAGGGAUGAGCCCGCGUAGGAUUAGCUAGUUGGUGAGGUAAAGGCUCACCAAGGCAACGAUCCUUAGCUGGUCUGAGAGGAUGAUCAGCCACACUGGGACUGAGACACGGCCCAGACUCCUACGGGAGGCAGCAGUAGGGAAUAUGACAAUGGGCGAAAGCCUGAUCCAGCAAUGCCGCGUGAGUGACUGGAAGCCUUAGGUUAGUAAAGCUACUUUUACCCGAGUAGUAGAUAAUGAACUAGUA
This 410-nucleotide ribosomal RNA is filed under the name uncultured soil bacterium. RNAcentral's name for it is "bacterial SSU rRNA". It matches the Rfam family "Bacterial small subunit ribosomal RNA", at positions 26 to 466 of the family's 1533-position model. The record is from RNAcentral.